This 425-nucleotide long non-coding RNA is filed under the name Micromonas commoda. Its description in RNAcentral is "long non-coding RNA (MCOM_LNC000439)". The record is from RNAcentral. Lineage: Eukaryota; Viridiplantae; Chlorophyta; Mamiellophyceae; Mamiellales; Mamiellaceae.
CAGGCAGGCAGGAUGACACGAUAACAUAGAGCACGCACAGGCGGGAAAGCGAAGUUUUGGGUCGGAUGGCUCAUCACGCGGCGUUCUCCGCGGGAGCGCUCCUCUUCAGUCCAGCCUCGAUGGCGUCCUUGCGCUUCAGCAACUCGAGGUGCACGGUGUGGACGAUGCCGAACAUUCCGCCGAGGGUGGCGGCGAUACCACCGACCGCCGCGAGGUAAGCCAUGACCGGCGAGGGAUACGACGUGGUCACCUUGGUGUAGAGCGGGAACGGAUUGAACUUGACGCCCUUGGCGUUGACGACUUCUUCGCUGUUGACGAUCGAAGUUUUGAUGUCAGAUGCGUCCUUCAUAUCUGACCAGCAGAGGUUUGAGGAGUCCACCGUGCCAACGAUGUCCACCGGGGUGAUUCCCCACUCGUAGAUGACC